AUGGCGGCGCGCCAUCCAUCCAGCCACCACUCCAUCAUCCACUCCAUCUUCACCACCUGCCGCUGCCAGCGCCGCAUCACCACCUCGAACCAUCGCACCAUCCAUCACCAUCUCCAGCACCGUCGUCGCACACCAUCCAUCACCAUAUCCAGCGCCACCACACCAUCCUCCACUCCUCCUACUGCUACCCUCUUAUUCCUCACCUCCGUUGUUUCUCCCCUGAACCCGAACUCCUUCUCCAUCUCCAAACUGCAUGAUGCGCCUCUGAUGAAGCUUUCUCUGAACCCCCUGCUGCUUCUCUCUUCUCCAUGCCCCCGCUGCUGCUUCUUCUUUCUCUAA
This 339-nucleotide ribosomal RNA is filed under the name Triticum aestivum (bread wheat). Its description in RNAcentral is "partial small subunit ribosomal RNA". Lineage: Eukaryota; Viridiplantae; Streptophyta; Magnoliopsida; Poales; Poaceae. The record is from RNAcentral.